RNAcentral lists this ribosomal RNA (1845 nucleotides) under Triticum aestivum (bread wheat). RNAcentral describes it as "partial small subunit ribosomal RNA". The record is from RNAcentral. Lineage: Eukaryota; Viridiplantae; Streptophyta; Magnoliopsida; Poales; Poaceae.
AUGGCCACGGACACCGCCGCCGACGCCGCCGAGGGCAGGCGCGCCAGGGACGAUGUGUGGGUGGCGGCGGAGGAGGGAGACAUGUCUGAAGCCAGCGCCGGCCGGCCGCUGCUGUUCCGGACCAUGAAGGUCAAGGGAAGCAUCCUGCAUCCUUACAGGUUCUUGAUUCUGGUGCGCUUGGUCGCUAUCGUCGCCUUCUUCGCUUGGCGAGUAGAGCACAGGAACCACGAUGGCGUGUGGCUCUGGGCCAUGUCCAUGGUCGCGGACGCCUGGUUCGGUUUCUCAUGGCUCCUCAACCAGCUCCCCAAGCUCAACCCCAUCAAACGCGUGCCGGACCUCGCCGCCCUAGCGGACCGGCACGGCGAAGCCGUCCUUCCAGGAAUCGAUGUCUUCGUCACCACCGUCGACCCUGUGGAUGAACCCGUCAUGUACACGGUGAACACCAUCCUCUCUAUCCUCGCCGCCGACUACCUCGUCGACAAGUAUGCCCGCUAUCUCUCCGAUGAUGGUGGCACGUUGGUGCACUACGAGGCCAUGCUCCAGGUUGCCAGUUUUGCCGCGUUGUGGGUCCCGUUUUGCCGAAAGCAUUGCGUCGAGCCAAGGUCCCCUGAGAACUAUUUUGGGAUGAAAACCCGGCCGUACGUCGGGGGUAUGGCAGGAGAGUUCAUGAGUGAUCACAGGCGUGUGCGCAGAGAAUAUGGUGAGUUCAAGGUGAGAAUAGAUUCCCUUUCUUCAACCAUCCGCCGACGAUCUGAUGCCUACAACAAAGGAGAUGAUGAUGUACAUGCCACUUGGAUGGCUGAUGGGACACAAUGGCCGGGCACAUGGAUUGAGCAAGCCGACAACCAUCGAAGAGGACAACAUGCUGGAAUUGUUAAGGUCAUGCUAGAUCAUCCAAGUUGUAAACCACAACUUGGAUCUUCAGCGAGCACCAACAAACCAGUUGACUUGAGCAACGUUGACACAAGACUCCCAAUGCUCGUAUACAUUUCCCGGGAGAAGCGCCCGGGUUAUGACAACCAAAAGAAGGCAGGCGCCAUGAACGUGAUGCUCCGCGUCUCCGCCUUACUCUCCAAUGCGCCUUUCGUCAUCAACUUUGACUGCGACCACUACAUCAAUAACUCACAAGCUCUCCGCGCACCUAUGUGCUUCAUGCUCGACCCUCGCGAUGGUCAGAACACGGCCUUUGUCCAGUUCCCACAACGCUUCGACGAUGUCGACCCGACAGAUCGCUACUCCAACCACAAUCGUGUCUUCUUCGAUGGCACCAUGCUUUCGCUCAAUGGUCUCCAAGGGCCAACCUACCUCGGCACAGGCACCAUGUUCCAUCGAGUCGCGCUCUAUGGCAUGGAGCCACAACGCUAUAGAGCGGAGAACAUCAAACUGGUAGGUAAGGGCGCUGAGUUGGGUAAGUCGACGCCAUUCCUGAACUCAAUACCAGAUGGCGCAAUCCAAGACCGGUCUAUCACCCCGGUGUCGGUUGACGAGGGGCUCAUGAGUGACCUGGCCACCCUGAUGACAUGCGCUUACGAGGACCGGACUUCAUGGGGGAGAGACGUCGGGUGGGUGUACAACAUCGCGACGGAGGAUGUGGUGACCGGAUUCCGCAUCCACCGACAAGGGUGGCGUUCCAUGUAUUGCUCCAUGGAGCCAGCCGCGUUCCGUGGAACGGCACCGAUCAACCUCACCGAGCGCCUCUACCAGGUGCUCGGUGGUCAGGCGGCUCCCUCGAGGUGUUCUUCUCCCACAGCAACGCUCUCAUCGCCAGCCGUCGGCUCUACCCUCUACAGCGCAUCGCUUACCUCAACAUGUCGAUCUACCCGAUCGCCACGAUGUUCGUCCUAG